AUUGAACGCUGGCGGCAUGCCUAACACAUGCAAGUCGAGCGGAAAAAGGGCGCUGGAUCCUGACUUCUGCGGCGGGCGGGAGAGUAAUACCUAAGCAUCUGCCUGGGAGGGGGAGAUAACGUCGGGAGACGGGCGCUAAUACCACACGCGCUCAGAGUGAGAACAGGGGGGAGCUUCGGACCGCGCGCUAGCAGCUGAGGCUAGGUCGGAUUAGCUAGUUGGUGGGGUAAAGGCAUACCACGGCGACGAUCCGUAACUGGUCUGAGAGGAUGAACAGCCACACUGGAACUGAGACACGGCCCAGACUCCUACGGGAGGCAGCAGUGGGGAAUAUUGGACAAUGGGCGAAAGCCUGAUCCAGCCAUGCCGCGUGUAUGAUGAAGGUCUUCGGAUUGUAAAGUACUUUAAUUUGGGAGGAAGAGCAGUAAGUUAAUACCUUGCUGUUUUGACGUUACCAUAAGAAUAAGCACCGGCUAACUUCGUG
This 484-nucleotide ribosomal RNA is filed under the name uncultured bacterium. Its description in RNAcentral is "partial 16S ribosomal RNA". It matches the Rfam family "Bacterial small subunit ribosomal RNA", at positions 30 to 507 of the family's 1533-position model. The record is from RNAcentral.